AUUGAACGCUAGCGGGAUGCUUUACACAUGCAAGUCGAACGAGUGGCGGACGGGUGAGUAAUGUAUGGGGACUGCCCGAUAGAGGGGGAUAACUACUGGAAACGGUAGCUAAUACCGCAUACUAUCGGAUAACCCAUAUGGGAUUAGCUAGUAGGUGAGGUAAUUGCUCACCUAGGCGACGAUCCCUAGCUGGUCUGAGCGGAUGAGCAGCCACUCUGGGACUGAGACACUGCCCAGGCUCCAACGGAAGCAGCAGUGGGACAUAUUGAACUGUGGGAGCAAGCCUGAUGCAGCCAUGCCGCGUGUAUGAAGAAGGCACGAGGGUUGUGGAGUACUUUCAGUCGGGAGGCGUUACCGACAGAAGAAGCACAGGCUAACUCCGUGCCAGCAGCCGCGGUAAUUC
Molecule: ribosomal RNA, 403 nt
Filed under: uncultured bacterium
Lineage: Bacteria
Description: partial 16S ribosomal RNA
Rfam family: Bacterial small subunit ribosomal RNA
Source: RNAcentral